RNAcentral lists this ribosomal RNA (408 nucleotides) under uncultured bacterium. RNAcentral describes it as "partial 16S ribosomal RNA". It matches the Rfam family "Bacterial small subunit ribosomal RNA", at positions 28 to 526 of the family's 1533-position model. The record is from RNAcentral.
GACGAACGCUGGCGGCGUGCUUAACACAUGCAAGUCGAACGAAGUGGCGAACGGUUGAGGAAUACGUGAGUAACCUGCCCUCCUUUUUGGGAUAAGCCUUGGAAACGGUGUCUAAUACCGAAUAAAUGGGGAUGGGCUCGCUGCCUAUCAGCUGGUUGGUGGGGUGAUCGACUACAAAGGGGGUGACGGGUAGCCGGCCUGAGAGGGUGACCGGGCACAUUGGGAACGAGAUACGGCCCAGACUCCUACGGGAGGCAGCAGUGGGGGAUAUUGCACAAUGGGCGAAAGCCGGAUCCAGCGACGCCGCGUGGGGGAUGAAGGAUUUCGGGUUGUAAACCUCUUUCGCUAUCGAAGGGGUAGGUGGAGAGGAUGCGCCGGCUAACUACGUGCCAGCCGCCGCGGUAAUUC